This 220-nucleotide unclassified non-coding RNA is filed under the name uncultured Sphingomonadaceae bacterium. RNAcentral's name for it is "contains 16S-23S intergenic spacer region". The record is from RNAcentral. Lineage: Bacteria; Pseudomonadati; Pseudomonadota; Alphaproteobacteria; Sphingomonadales; Sphingomonadaceae.
UCACGUCUUACGACGGCAGUUUCACUAGAGUUCCCAGCGUUACCUGAUGGCAACUAGUGAUGGGGUUGCGCUCGUUGCGGGACUUAACCCAACAUCUCACGACACGAGCUGACGACAGCCAUGCAGCACCUGUCACCGCGUCCCCGAAGGGAACCCCAGAUCUCUCUGGAUAGCGCGGGAUGUCAAACGCUGGUAAGGUUCUGCGCGUUGCUUCGAAUUA